Molecule: ribosomal RNA, 433 nt
Filed under: uncultured bacterium
Lineage: Bacteria
Description: partial 16S ribosomal RNA
Rfam family: Bacterial small subunit ribosomal RNA
Source: RNAcentral
AACGAACGCUGGCGGCAGGCCUAACACAUGCAGGUCGAGCGAGGACUUCGGUCCUAGCGGCGGACGGGGGAGUAACGCGUGGGAACGUGCCCUUUGCUUCGGAAUAGCCCUGGGAAACAGGGAGUAAUACAGGUUGAGCCCUUUGGGGGAAAGAUGUAUCGGCGAAGGAUCGGCCCGCGUUGGAUUAGGUAGUUGGUGGGGUAAUGGCCGACCAAGCCGACGAUCCAUAGCUGGUUGGAGAGGAUGACCAGCCGCACUGGGACUGAGACACGGCCUAGACUCGUACGGAAGGCAGCAGUGUGGAAUCUUAUGCAAUGGGGGCAACCCUGAUCUAGCCACGCCGCGUGUGAGAUGAAGGCCUUAGGGUUGUACAGCUCUUUCAGCUGGGAAGAUAAUGACGGUACUAGCAGAAGAAGCCCCGGCUAACUCCGUG